UAUUGUUUGCGGUUGUUAGUUCAGCGGGAGAUUGGAACCUUUUGAGAUGAGAAACCUUUUGCGUUGUUUUCAAUAAAUCCUUUUACUUAAAGUCCUAAAACAUAUACAGAUCAUUAAAAUGGAGUGUCAAGUCGACAAAGAAACGCAUUUUCGAAACCUUCUUCUUUAUGCAUUUAAUCAAGCGCCAAAGCUGCAGAAGCUGCCCAAAAGAUUUGUGAAUUGUAUGGAGAAGGUGCAAUGCCUGAACGAACUGCAAGAUAUUGGUUUGUCAAAUUCAAAAAUGAAAAUUUCAACCUCGAAGACGCUGCUUGUUCUGAACAACCAAAUGAGUUUGAUGAAGAGCAUUUGAAUCAACUUCUAAAUUAAGAUGCAUGUCAAACCACUCGAGAAUGAGCAGAAUGAAUGGGUUAUAGCCAAAUGACUAUAGUUCGACAUCUUGAAUCUAUGGGGAAAAUCCAAAAACUCGAAUAUUAUUGACUAAUUUAUAGUUUUUUUUGUUUUGUUAAAAUAAAAAUUUUUAAAUUAAAAAA
This is a long non-coding RNA of Stegodyphus dumicola, 530 nucleotides long. The record is from RefSeq and is a predicted model, not a curated record. Lineage: Eukaryota; Metazoa; Arthropoda; Arachnida; Araneae; Eresidae.